Molecule: ribosomal RNA, 497 nt
Filed under: uncultured bacterium
Lineage: Bacteria
Description: partial 16S ribosomal RNA
Rfam family: Bacterial small subunit ribosomal RNA
Source: RNAcentral
GAUGAACGCUGGCGGCGUGCCUAAUACAUGCAAGUCGAGCGAACAGACGAGGAGCUUGCUCCUCUGACGUUAGCGGCGGACGGGUGAGUCACACGUGGAUAACCCACCUAUAAGACUGGGAUAACUUCGGGAAACCGGAGCUAAUACCGGAUAAUAUAUUGAACCGCAUGGUGCAAUAGUGAAAGACGGUUUUGCUGUCACUUAUAGAUGGAUCCGCGCCGCAUUAGCUAGUUGGUAGGGUAACGGCUUACCAAGGCAACGAUGCGUAGCCGACCUGAGAGGGUGAUCGGCCACACUGGAGCUGGGACACGGUCCAGACUCCUACGGGAGGCAGCAGUCGGGUAUCUUCCGCAGUGGGCGAAAGCCUGACGGAGCAACGCCGCGUGAGAGAUGACGGUCUUCGGAUCGUAAAACUCUGUUAUUGGGGAAGAACAAAUGUGUAAGUAACUAUGCACGUCUUGACGGUACCUAGUCAAAAAGCCACGGCUAACUACGUG